This 1442-nucleotide small RNA is filed under the name Pongo abelii (Sumatran orangutan). RNAcentral's name for it is "retained intron". Lineage: Eukaryota; Metazoa; Chordata; Mammalia; Primates; Hominidae. The record is from RNAcentral.
UGUUCAGGGAUCACCACAUGAGUGGCUGGUGAGUGGGGAUGGGGGACAGGUGGGAAGGGAGACCCCUGGGAUCCAGGCCCAGCUCCACCUUGGCAGGGUGGCACUGUGAGGGUGUGACAGCUGGGCCCUGAGUUGGGGAGAGAUGAGAUGGGGCACAGGGCUUGGGUUGAUGCUGGCUCUGCUCCUGGUAGGAGCUACAAACGUGUGGACAAAUCGGAUCUCAAGUACCCACUGAUCCACGGACAGGGUAGGCAGGCUCGGUUACUAGGAACACUGGCUGUCUCCCGGGGCCUGGGAGACCAUCAGCUCAGAGUCCUGGACACAAACAUCCAGCUCAAGCCCUUCUUGCUCUCUGUCCCACAGGUGACUGUGCUGGAUGUGGACCAGCUGGAGCUACAGGAGGAUGAUGUGGUUGUCAUGGCAACUGAUGGACUCUGGGAUGUCCUGUCCAACGAGCAGGUGGCAUGGCUGGUGCGGAGCUUCCUCCCUGGGAACCAAAAGGACCCACACAGGUUCUCAAAGCUGGCCCAGAUGCUGAUACACAGCACACAGGGAAAGGAAGACAGUCUCACAGAGGAAGGGCAGGUGUCCUACGAUGACGUCUCUGUGUUCGUGAUUCCCUUGCACAGUCAGGGCCAAGAGAGCAGUGGCCACUGAGGAUUCAGACACUGUAUCCCAGAACUGCUCUAGUGCCCGGGUGUGGUCUGGGCAUCCCUCCAGUGUGACCAAGAGCAAAUCCUGCCUGCCCUAUCCCUAGCCACCGCCCAGUGCUCUCACUAUCCAUCUCAACACACAUCCAUCUCAAGAGGAACAUUUAUACCAGGCAGUCAGAGCUGGAAGUGUAUGGAGAGCCCAGCCCUCCAGGUCCUGCCUUUUGCGGUGAUAACCUUCUCUGGCAGAGUGACUUUACAGCUUAACUAGGAAACCCAUGUGAGGCUCCUCAGACAGGAUCUUCAACAGCCCAAAGUAUCAUUCUCAGAUAGGGGGACCCAGGCUAAGGGUAUUAGCCAAAGAUGCCAGGAUGGGCAGCUAGCCCAUGUUUAGAUCCAGGUCUCCAAUUCAUGGAUGUCAGGGCAUGAGUUCAACAACCCCCAAAGUCCACGCAGGGUGGCUUGUAGAAACCUUUGGGCAGCCUCAUGUCUGCUAAAACUGCCAUCUUCAAGACAGCCCCUGAAAAAAGACCAGUUCAGGUCCUGCCCUGCUGUUCUUUGCUGGAGAUGAGGAACAGGCGCUGGGGCUAAAGUUUGGGGCAGAGCACAAGGGACAAGAGGAACUCUUGGAGUUGGCUGGGUGAGAGGGCUCUCCAUUUGCUACCUGUAGUAGCCUGCCUCCUAACUAACGGUUGAUUCUCCCUAGUUCCAGCCCUGCCCUGGUCUGAUGCCCCAACACUGCCCUUGCUUUGUUUUCCCCGUCACCUCCCUAUUAUUAAAUGUUUUCUACAG